RNA transcript from Oncorhynchus tshawytscha (Chinook salmon), 4249 nucleotides. It is a transcript of the gene named phosphatidylinositol binding clathrin assembly protein a, with no coding region annotated. NCBI's taxonomy places the organism in Eukaryota, Metazoa, Chordata, Actinopteri, Salmoniformes, Salmonidae. The record is from RefSeq and is a predicted model, not a curated record. The transcript is spliced from 24 exons.
AAAGAGCACAGACUUAUUCAGUGGGAACUAAAGAGAGAGGGAGACUCAGUCAGUGCGAGAGAAAGAAAGAAAGAGAGGGGGAGUCAGUUAGUGCGAGAGAAAGAGAGAGGGGGAGUCAGUUAGUGCGAGAGAAAGACUUUGUUAGGAGAGAGGGCUCAUUCGGAAUUGGCAAGAGGUAAAAACUCUUAAGUUUGUAUCCCAUAUAAUAUACAACCAAACUUCAAUUUUACGCUCACUUAUCGUGGAUGUGGGCUACAUAUCACCCUCGGAUUUAGCUACAAGAGUAACGUUUCUGCCGUCUCAUUUUUCUCGUCUUUAUUUUGUGUCAUGUGGCAGAACUGUGGAAGCUACAGAGGACAAUAGCGAUUCCACAGGAUUUGAAACAUUUGUUCUAUAUCUUAAUACAGAAGUGCGAAGAUGUCUGGGCAAAGCAUUACGGACAGGAUAACCGCAGCUCAACACAGUGUUACCGGAUCUGCGGUGGCAAAAACUGUGUGCAAGGCGACUACGCAUGAAAUUAUGGGGCCGAAAAAGAAACAUUUAGAUUACUUGAUCCACUGCACCAAUGAGAUGAACGUGAACAUCCCCCAGCUGGCAGACACGUUGUUUGAGAGGACGGCCAGCACCAGCUGGGUGGUGGUCUUCAAGUCUCUCACCGCCACCCACCACACCAUGGUCUACGGCAAUGAGAGAUUUAUACAGUACAUGGCUUCAAGGAAUACGCUUUUCAACCUCAGUAACUUUUUGGACAAAAGUGGCCUGCAAGGCUAUGACAUGUCAACGUUCAUAAGGAGAUAUAGUCGCUACCUGAAUGAGAAGGCUGUGUCGUAUCGACAAGUCGCUUUUGACUUUACAAAAGUUAAACGAGGGGCGGAUGGCGUUAUGAGAACCAUGAACACAGAAAAGUUACUAAAGACCAUACCGAUCAUCCAAAACCAGAUGGAUGCGCUACUUGACUUCAAUGUCAACGCCAACGAACUCACCAAUGGAGUGAUCAACGCGUCCUUCAUGCUUCUGUUUAAAGAUUCCAUUCGACUGUUUGCGGCCUACAAUGAAGGCAUUAUCAAUCUGCUGGAGAAGUACUUUGACAUGAAGAAAACUCAAUGCAAGGAGGGCCUUGACAUCUACAAGAAAUUCCUUACUCGAAUGACAAGAAUCUCUGAAUUCCUCAAAGUAGCAGAGCAAGUAGGGAUUGAUCGAGGGGACAUUCCAGACCUCUCCCAGGCCCCCAGUAGCCUCUUAGAUGCCUUGGAGCAGCAUUUGGCUUCUUUAGAAGGGAAGAAGGUGAAAGAUUCCACAGCAGCCAGCAGGGCUAGCACACUCUCCAACGCUGUCUCCUCUUUGGCCAACACGGGCAUAUCUUUCACCAAAGUGGACGAGAGGGAGAAACAGGCAGCUCUGGAGGAAGAGCAGGCUCGCCUAAAAGCGCUAAAGGAGCAGCGUCUGAAGGAACUCCAGAAGGGGCCUUCUUUCGCUGCCACCACAGCUGCCUCCCCUGUGUCAAUGGACGGUGGGACCAUCAACACAGCACCGGCCAUUGACCUCUUCUCCACGCCCAGCUUCGCAAACAGCACUUCCAAGGCGGCGAGCGACCUGCUGGACUUGCAGCCUGUGUUUCAGCAGCAGGCACUGCCCAUCUCCACUGGCCUGCCGACAGCCAACACAUGGGGAGAUCCUUUCACUUCUACAGAAGCUGUCGAUGACUCCAUUCCAAACUUUAACCCUUUCCUAUCACAUCCUGUUGUUGAUGCUGUCCAUCUACCUGUCGAAUCUUCCGAUGGUGUUAGUUCUAGGACACCCAGUCAUGAAAUGUUUGGUGAUCAUUACAAUCCCUUUAUUGAUUCGAACACCUCCAUUGCAUCUGAUCAUGAGCACACAGUGCGGAUAGAGCAGGUUAUCUCAGACUCCUUCUGUGGGCCAGCAUCUUACCCUACCACCCCUCUCUUUCAAUCUGAGCCCCCUGCUGUAGCUGGUCUAUUUGGAGGGUUCUCAGCUUCUCCCACCCCGCAGCCUCAGACCGCCAGAGGCCUUAAUGUCGACUUUGACUCUGUGUUUGGCAACAACGUGGACUCGGCUGGUGGCAUCCUCAAACCUACAGUGGCCUCCUUGCCCGGCCAGGGGCAAAUCCCCAGCGGGCAGCAGCCUGGGAAGCUGGUGUCCGACGACCUGGACUCGUCCUUGGCUAACCUUGUCGGCAAUUUGGGAAUUGGCAAUGGCGUGGCAAAAAAUGAUAUUCAUUGGAGUCAGCCUGGUGAGAAGAAGUUGACGGGUGGAAACAAUUGGCAACCAAAGACUGCUCCCUCUACCACAUGGAACCCUGCCACCAUGAACGGAAUGCAUUUCCCACAAUACGCACCAUCUGUCAUGGCCUUCCCUGCAACAACGCCGACGGGAAUGAUGGCAUAUGGAAUGCCUCCCCAGAUGGGUUCCAUGGGUAUAAUGACCCAGCCCACUAUAAUGUACAGCCAACCAGUCAUGAGGCCAGCCAACCCCUUUGGCACGGCCCCAGGAGCACAGGUGUUUGAUUUGGCCAAAAGUAUGUCCUGGAUGGAAGGCAUUUUUGAUCUAAGAAUAUGUCAUAUGUCCUGUUUUGUGCCUGGAGGACUUCUCAACUAGUCAUGACACAGGACCAGCGAUUAACUGAAUCGUGUCAAUGACCUUCCUUGAGGACACACUGCUGUCCUGAUCAAACACACAUCCGAGAACGCAAGUGCUGGAGAAAAUAUGAUAUCUACAAAGAUUGUUCUAUUAUAUUCUGGCCUACAUUUUGUGAAGCAGAUGCAGUUCAUGUAACUUAAAAAGGAGGCUUUUGCCCUCCGAAGACAAACCAUGAAGCAGCGAGACUAACUUUCAAGCAAAAAUCCAGUUAACUGUUAUACUCCUCGUCGAGAAUAUCAGCACAAAUAAGGACUCAAGGGGGGGAACCUUGUCCAAGAGGCGUCAAGUAUAGGACACGAAUCCCAUUUUGUAAUUGGUCUUCUGAGAAACAGUGUGCGCUGCCAUUCUAACCCCUCUACAGGGAUCACUCAUUCCAUUUGUCUUCUGUAAAAGAUACAAAUGGUUACGGAAAGGGAGACAUUUUGACUUUGCUGUUAUGUAUGGAAAAUAGUGGUUUAUCACAGAAUUGCUUGAUCCGAUCAUCAAUCGUACAUUAUCUAAUUGAACCAUAACUGAUUAGUAAAGCUAACCUCUGUUUAUACCAUGACUUUCAAAAGAAAUUGUAUUACGUUUGCAGUAGACAUUCCUUGUGCAUUGUUUGUAUUUAUUUAUACCCACGGAGGAUAUGACAUUGAACUCUUCAGGUGUAUACAUGGGUAUGAUUGGAUUUGUAUAAUUGGAGUUUGAGUGUGACUGAGUUAAAAAAAUAAAUUUAAAAAAAGUUAAUAUAAAGAUUGAAAAAUGUAACCGACUGAACCAGCAUAAUGUCAAGCACAGUUCUUAGUAGCUCAGUCACAACCCUGGGGUGAUAUUGGCAUAAAACAAGUUUAAUGAUUCAAUAGUCAAUUCUGUGAGCUUGGGUCUUUUUUUUUUCUUAAGGGAACAUUUUCACUCACUAGCAAAGCACUACAUUUGUGAUUUGCCGGCAUUGCGUUGGGAACGAUCCACAUUUUAUGCUUUACACUUGGCAUGUAAUUUAUUUUACAUGGAACUAUUCUAUGGCUGCCUUUCCAAAAUGAAUGUGCAGAGUGUCCUUCAUGCUCAGGCCAUCUUUACAUAGACCAGCAUCUGGGUUGGGGGAAAGGAGGUGGUCACAGGGGGCAGGGGAAAGAGCUGUGGAUGUCACUGGUCAGCUCUAAGUGUCAGAUCUAGGUUGAAAUACUAUUUGAAAUCUUUUAAAUACUUUGUUUGCUCUAGCUUGUCUAGAGUGCCAGAAGGGCUGGGUUAGCAGUUUUGGGACUAUUCUAUUGGUCUAUUAAGCCAUACAAGAUCACUCAAGCACAGAUAAAGUAUGUUAAAUGAAUGUCGGGUAAGUGGGCAGUAGGAUCCAGUUGAGCGGGGGGGGGGGAGAAAUGGAGCACUGUUGAUCGGUGCUUUGUGUAUAUAAAAUGGAUCAUUUCCAUCAUGGGGGUGGGUGGGACAUGUGCAGGAUGGUCAGAACAUGAAGGUUAUUCUAUUCAUCAAAUUAGCAUUUUAACUGCAUUGUACCUGCAGAUUUAUAUUUUUGUUUAUAUUAAAUAUAUAAAUAAAUGUAUGCAGGAUUUGGUAGAUUGUUUUUUUUUUUUUUUCAAUAAAGUGUUUUGCAACAGUA